AGCGAACGCUGGCGGCAGGCUUAACACAUGCAAGUCGAACGCCCGGGCAACCGGGAGUGGCAGACGGGUGAGUAACGCGUGGGAACGUACCCUUUGGUUCGGAAUAACUCAGGGAAACUUGAGCUAAUACCGGAUAAGCCCCGAGAGGGGGAAAGAUUUAUUGCCGAAGGAUCGGCCCGCGUCCGAUUAGCUAGUUGGUGUGGUAAUGGCGCACCAAGGCGACGAUCGGUAGCUGGUCUGAGAGGAUGAUCAGCCACACUGGGACUGAGACACGGCCCAGACUCCUACGGGAGGCAGCAGUGGGGAAUAUUGGACAAUGGGGGCAACCCUGAUCCAGCCAUGCCGCGUGAGUGAUGAAGGCCUUAGGGUUGUAAAGCUCUUUCGGCGGGGACGAUAAUGACGGUACCCGCAGAAGAAGCCCCGGCUAACUUCGUGCCAGCCGCCGCAGUAAAAC
This 454-nucleotide ribosomal RNA is filed under the name uncultured bacterium. RNAcentral describes it as "bacterial SSU rRNA". It matches the Rfam family "Bacterial small subunit ribosomal RNA", at positions 29 to 526 of the family's 1533-position model. The record is from RNAcentral.